UUAAGGAAUCUAUUAAUAACAUUUACAUUUUACUUAUUGUAGACGAGAUUAUAAAUUGCGCACACAUUCGUUUAUAUCGUAUAAGUUGCAAAUGCAGAUGAUAAAAAAAUGGAUUCAGAAUUAAUAUACUGGUUUAUCAAAUAAAUGUAGUAUGAAAAUUAAUUAAACACUCCUGAUUGGUGAUCAAGGGUAGUUCAAAUAAAACGGUGCAUUGUUGUAAUAAAGAAGAGAUCAUAUGUGCCGGUAUUCGAGGGGUGUUCCAGAAAUUCGUGGAUUUUCGCUAUAACUUAUGAGUUUGCUGGUAAAAGUCAAUGAAAUUUACAUAUUAUACAAACCAAUUAUCACGGACUUUAUAUAUAAGCUAAAAAUGCAUGAAUUCCAUAAAGCGCGUUUGAAACGCGUUGCCAUAGAGACCUCAGUAACGACAUGCGGCGCAGGCGUGUAUUUUAUUAUAAAUAUGAGCGUUACGCGAAUUUAAAUUUGGCUUAAAUGUCGUUGAUAAACAGAAUUUACGGCAAAUUUCACGUUACAGCGCCUAAGUCCUCCUUACAGCCCGGAUUUGGCCCCUAUGGACUUCCGCGUCUUCCCGGAAGUUAAAUCACAGUUGCGCGGUAUUCGCUUUGCAAGUAAACAGGAACUUACAGUUGCAGCAAAGCGAAUCGUGCUGUCUUUUGACGCUGACUGGUAAAGAGACACUUUUGACAAGUGGAUUUCCCGACACAUAAAGUGCAUUCGCGUUGGAGAUAAUAAUGUGGAAAAGAUUUGACAGUUGUUAACUUCAUAACGUCAUUUACGUUGAACAGAAACGUUACACGUGCGUCGGUGUGCGCAUUGUGCACAUGUUUAAAUCUCUGAUAUAUAUUUAUUGUUUUAUGUAUUUCCAUGAUAUUUGGAGAGUAGAUUUGGAAAGGACGAAAUAUUCUUAACAUGCUAUUUGUUUGUCCAUUUAUGUUACCAAAUGAAAGUUAUAGCGAAAAUCCACGAACUUCUGGAACACCCCUUGUAUAUUAGGUUUGUAACAAUAAAAAAAAUCACUAAAUUGAAAGAACUGGUAUAACAAAUACAUAUCUACAUUAUAAGGGUGCAGGAUCACGUGACUCUGUUGGUUCACAAUUUAAUGUUAAUGGAUGUAGACACACCAAACACUCUCCUAAGGAUGUCAAAAGCCGACAAUCUUCGCGUGACCUUCGCCGAUCAUGCACCACGGGACCAAAAGGGAAAUCUCGUGGGCCCAGCAGAGCAAGUGUUGGCCUGUGGUCAAAGACAAAUUCUCUUGUGCAGGUUAAUAGAGAGGAUAUUAAACUAAUGGCGACCGUGGUAACAUCGGGUGUUGCGGUCAACUAACCAUUAUCAAUGACAUCACUCCGAACCAUGAAAUAAACCCAUUUAUGCCUAGUUGACUCUCCCAUCCUUCUAAAUUGGAUCAAUUUAUUUCCAAAAUUAGGGAUGUCAAGUAUAUUUAUUUCUAUAUUUAGAAUAUUUCGUAAAGAAAUUCCUUUUA
Dreissena polymorpha is the source of this 1501-nucleotide RNA transcript. It is a transcript of the gene named mucolipin-1-like, with no coding region annotated. The record is from RefSeq and is a predicted model, not a curated record. The transcript is spliced from 2 exons. NCBI's taxonomy places the organism in Eukaryota, Metazoa, Mollusca, Bivalvia, Myida, Dreissenidae.